Molecule: ribosomal RNA, 71 nt
Filed under: Escherichia coli
Lineage: Bacteria; Pseudomonadati; Pseudomonadota; Gammaproteobacteria; Enterobacterales; Enterobacteriaceae
Description: partial 16S ribosomal RNA
Rfam family: Bacterial small subunit ribosomal RNA
Source: RNAcentral
UUAAAUUGAAGAGUUUGAUCAUGGCUCAGAUUGAAUGCUGGCGGCAGGCCUAACACAUGCAAGUCGAACGG